CUUGUUAAGGACAAACGUGUUAGUGCUUUUGAAGAAGAUAUUACCUUAGGAAGAAAAACGAAGCCUGAAAAGUAUCCUGCAUAUACAACUGGCAACAUAAGACCUUGCCAAUCCAAGCUCUCCUCAGAAAAUAACUGUGGACUCUCUAUGCUCUUAUCAAGAUGUUAACUUUCAGAACUAAUUAUGAAUGAAGAUUACUGCCUGAUGUUCAGGUUUCUGAUUCAGGCUCUUCUUUCUUUUCUCCAUGGUAUCUGUGAGCUGGGAAGACGAGCUACUCAAAGAUCAAGCUAUAUCCGGAUGGACCAAAGAAAUAAUCAUGAAGCCUAACCGAGACACUACUUUGGUGUGGCCAGACAAUCUGGGGAGAAUUUUCCUUUUCACUGGCUCCAAUAACUGUGGCGGAGGACAAAGAAAAGAGGCUCGGAGGCUCUGUGAACAUUUUCUGCUCUCAAAGGGACUUUGAUUUCCCAUCUGCCAGACUGUCAACACUUUUCUGUGUCUGACCUCAACAAGGAAAGCCACCAGCAUCAUUUCCUACUUGGCUCUGUUGUGUCAAGUUCAGAGGGAGCCUGUUUCUGUCACCUUUCUCCCAGAAACACCCAUGCCACUGGCAGGAAUGACAUGGGGGAGGAGACACAAGAAGUGGAACUGGUCACUGACAGGAGAUGUCCUGUCAGGAAAGCCUUUUGGAGCAUGUCCAAAAAGGGGAUGGGAAAAUAAGUGAGCCUGGCCCUAAAGUGCCUGAAACUAUUCAGGGAAUGUAACCAAGUGCCCAAGUCCAUCGUUAGGGAGGAGAAAAGGAAGUGUCCUCCCAGCAGGGAGAGUGUAGUGAUGCAAUGUGACAGCAUUUUGGCUUAGUCUCUGCUAUCUUUGCGACUGCCCAGAAACAUUUGCUUUGUACUGUUUUUCACUUUGUUCUAGAAUUCAUUCUGUCAUAGCAGAAAUGACAAUGAUGACAGACUGUCGCCCUUUCCCUUCUGUUGCCCUAAACAUACAUUUUUUCUUCUUGCCUUCCUGCUUCCCCCUCUCUUAUUUUUCCCUUUUAUUCAUGCUUUCCAUUUAACUGCUGACACCUGCAGAUACUGUAUGACCUCCUUGAUGCUUUUUAGAACAAAAAGACUUUGACUGUCAUCUAUUUGAAGAUAUGGGCUGACUGACCACAAGAAAUACCACAAGAAGUAUAUACAUAUAUAUAAAAUAGAGUUUUCUACAGGCUAAUGACAUUUGUUUUACUACAUGAGAGUCAAAUUAGGAGAUUUUUAUAGUGGGGUACUGUGAGAAACUGAACUUAAUCUAAUCUUACUGUGGCAUGUUAAAGAAUAUGAGUCAUAGUAUGUCCUAGAUACAGGGCUGGGCAACUGUAGGAAGUGCUGAUAAGGAAUUAUGAAGAACAAAAUUUCAGAGUGAGCCUGAUCAAGAAUGACGGAAAACUGGAUGUCUGAAUAAGCUGAACAUAGCUACUGAUGCAAAUUGAAUAACUGUUGACUAUUUACGAAAAUUGCAUUGAUGGACUGCAGUUUUAAUUCCAUAUAAAUUGCUCUGAAUAGCCAUGACAGCUUUAUAGCCACCUGCUGGCUACCUGCAAGAAUUCAGGCUUUUUCUUUGGUUUGGUUUUGCUCAGUAAUAAACUUAACUAAUUCUACUUUUACAAUAUG
Long non-coding RNA from Nycticebus coucang (slow loris), 1655 nucleotides. RefSeq lists it as uncharacterized. NCBI's taxonomy places the organism in Eukaryota, Metazoa, Chordata, Mammalia, Primates, Lorisidae. The transcript is spliced from 4 exons. The record is from RefSeq and is a predicted model, not a curated record.